This 352-nucleotide transfer-messenger RNA is filed under the name Synergistales. RNAcentral describes it as "JAFGMB01 sp016927765 Standard tmRNA". It matches the Rfam family "transfer-messenger RNA". From Rfam's summary of the family: Bacterial tmRNA, also known as 10Sa RNA or SsrA, is named for its dual tRNA and mRNA-like properties. Its role is to liberate the mRNA from a stalled ribosome. The record is from RNAcentral. Lineage: Bacteria; Thermotogati; Synergistota; Synergistia. RNAcentral also lists the same sequence under 1 other name.
GGGGGCGACUGGUUUCGACGGCAAGAUGGAGGGUCUGGAAGAGCGAGUCGAGGUCUCCGUAACCUCGUUAACAAACGGAACCUAAAGAUAAUUGCCAACAAUAACUACGCACUGGCUGCAUAAUUAGCGGCCACGUCUUCAGUAGCUUUCUCCGCCGGGCUUCUGAAAGACGUCACUAAGGCGGAUGCUCCACCGGGAAUGUCUCCGGUCCGGUGGUCAAGCUUCAGGGGGCUUGGGGGAGGAUAUCCUGUUCCUGGGAGAUCUGACCCGACACUAAAACAGGAAAUACGCUCGUAGCGCUUCCACGGCUGGCCCUUGUCGGACCGGAGUUCGAAUCUCCGCGCCUCCACCA